UCAGUAGUGACACUGCGGCAGGAGUACUA
This 29-nucleotide ribosomal RNA is filed under the name Yarrowia lipolytica. RNAcentral's name for it is "partial 18S ribosomal RNA". The record is from RNAcentral. Lineage: Eukaryota; Fungi; Ascomycota; Dipodascomycetes; Dipodascales.